AUGUUGUACAAAAACAAACAAGAAACCCCAAACCCAACAGCAAUACCAAACUAACCAAACAAAAACAACAGAAACUAAAACCACACCAGCAAAUAAAAAAUCUCCCAAAACAAAUAAAACCCAGCUGUGAUCCAAACUCCACAUAAUUGGAAUCCAUAGAAUGGCUUAGGAUGGAGGGGAACUCAGAGAUCAUCUAAUUCCAAUCUCCCUUUCACUGGCAAGGCUGCCAGCCACUAAAUCAGGCUGCCCAGGGCCUCAUCCAACCAUCCCUCCAAGGACAGGGCACCCACAACCUCUUUGGGCAGCCUGUGCCAGUGCCUCACUACACUCAGAUUACUUGCAGUACUCUGUAUCCAUACUAACAUAUGAUCUGUCUGUGGCUGGAAUCAAGCAUAUGAAUGUCUACACUUGACUAGACACACACACGCAGCCAGUUUGCCACAAGUAUUACUAACUCUUCUAUUAGCUGAUCUUACCUAGGUACACCAAAACUGGCUCCCUUGUUCAUAAGCAAAUUCCUUUAGAUAUAAAGGCCAAAUGGUUGACCAGUGAUUCUUUCUGCAUAUAACAUUCUGAAAGACCACAUAAAAGAUUUUUUUUAAGUAUUAUGUGAAAAUAAUUAAAGUAAUUAGUGGCUACACUGUUUAUUUAGAUCCAAAUAGUUCAACGCUGAUUAACUUUUAAGUAUUUGUAAGAGAGUUUAGGUCCCCAAAUCAUCUCAAUCUUGCUAAUACAAACUUCAUUCCUGCAGGAAUAUCUUGCUCGAAUGGCUUCAGCCUAUAAAAAUAAGCUUCCACAUCAAAACCCUUGAACUUUUCCCCUUCCUUUUAUGUUCCAAGAUUUUUAAAGUACUGCUGACAAGCCUCAAAGAUUAAUGUUUGCUUAGUUCUGGCACAAAAAAGGGAACAAAGUAGAAGGAAAAUUCAACCCUUUCCAAGAGCAAUGCUCCCUCUGCCCCAAACAGUAGCUGCACACACUCUAACCCCUUCCCCAUCUGUGAUGCUAUAAAACAAAAAUAACGUGAAAGGCAUAUUUGCAGCAGCCUUAGCCAAAAUGGAAGGUACGCUAUUUGGAAAUACACACUUAUCCACACAUACAGAAACUAUGUCAUGGAUUUUUCUUUUUAAUUAACUACAAAAGAGGUUAGUUUCACACAACAGCAGAACGUUACCACUUUGAAACACAUCUCCGAACCUAAUGUAAACUGGAAACCCAGCUAAGGAAGUUAAAAGUAGGGAAUAUUUGAGAAACUGCAACUCAGUCUCCAACAACCACUGCUUUAGACUCUUUUAUAGCUCAACUGAAUACCGUCCACUAAAUUUAAAAGUAAUUUUAAGGUCAUAAAGCCUACAUGCUGCUCCAAUAGAUUAUAUUUUAAAGCUUUACCAUAAAACUCAAGUAGGCACAUUUUAAGUCCUAAGAAUGGACUGAAGUUAUAAAUGAAAAUUAAAUAAUAUACAGCAGUGCAUAAUCAAAAGAAUAUGACUACUUCUGCCUCUUGAAAUCGGUCCUACAGCUACAGCACACUCAUGCUAAGAACCCAUUAAUCUCAGAAGCAGCCAGGUUAAACUGAUACUUCAAGGUUCCCUAGGUUUCCAAAAUUAAGUUUUUCUACAUUUCUGAAGUUGUCCUACUUCAGAGGUUUGAAUUUUGGACAGUCCUGAAUGGGUCCAGGCACUGGACUCAAUGAUCCUUGUGGAUCUCUUCCAACUUGGGAUAUUCUACAACUCUAUGAGGAAACAAGUGAACAGCACGUAUGUCAACAAAGCCAGCAACUUCAGAAGCAGGUAUUCAACUAUAUAAACAACCCGCCUAAUGUGUAUUCCAUUGUACUGUAACCAGGCUUUCAACCAUGUUUUGUUCCUUUGCCUGUAAACAGGUACGUGUAAAAGUUAUCUUGUGACACACUGUCCAAACACCAGCGUUGGCAACAGUUUCCACAUCCAGCUCAGAAUGUAAAGCACAGCUCAGCUUUGUAGCAGGAGAACACUGGGAUGCUGCCAUACAGAGAACCUGGAGAAAGCCCCUACAGCAUCUGAAAUCUUUCUUUUAAAAGGAUGGUGCAUGGCACAUCAGCCAUUCCUUGACUGAGUUUAAUCUGUACAGUGUAACCGAAUACAGCUUUGGUAAACAAUAUACUACAGCAUCAGACGCGAGACUUCCGUUUCCAAAGCAUUACCAAAGCCAAGCUUGGUGGUCAUCUGUUCCAGUUAGGUGGCGUGUUUUUCUAGCUGAUGAAACCUGUCUCUGCUGACAUGGCCACUCGUCUCUCAACAAAGCACUUCAAACCCAACGUGAGUUACAUGAAUCCACGAUGACCCUGCAGACACACCACUCCGUGUAAAAUUGAUAGCGAAGUUAAACAGACUGCUCUCUGAAGUCCCUGGAUGGUCUUCUCUGAACUUACCUCAAAAAGGUGCUGUAAAGGACUGGAUUUCAGCUUUUCUUUGUCGCCAAACUGUUGGAAACCCACGCCUAGUAAGCCUCGAAUAACAAUUAAAUGCAGAGUUAGACAAGAGCCCAGAGUGCAUUGUUUUAUUCUUUUCACAAGCAAGUCUUAACGCUGUGUGUAAUAAAACAA
Gallus gallus (chicken) is the source of this 2581-nucleotide long non-coding RNA. RefSeq lists it as uncharacterized. NCBI's taxonomy places the organism in Eukaryota, Metazoa, Chordata, Aves, Galliformes, Phasianidae. The transcript is spliced from 3 exons. The record is from RefSeq and is a predicted model, not a curated record.